CUUAAUCUCUUCAUCUGUCAGUUGGCAAGAAUGAUAAGUGUACCUACUUUGUAAGGUCAUGGAGAGUAUUAAAGGAGUUAAUGUUUGAAAAAUGCUUGGAACACCUAACACAUCACAACCACUGUAUCUGUGUGUUAUAAAUAAAAUUUAAAAAUCUUCUGACACUGUUCAUAAGCUCCAGAGGGUGAGACUAGUGCCUGGAUGUAUGUAGAAAGCACUCUGUGACAUACAAUGAAUAAAAGAAUGAACAACACUGUUGAAUGCUUUACCACUGUCACAUACAUCAUCCUACAGGCAUUCCCAAGCAGAAUCACACCCAACAAUACCUGUUCUGUCCCACAGCAUCUUCUUUGAUUCCAUCCAGGAAUCACUGGGGUUUCUUGGACCCUGGUAACUGUACCCACUAAAGGUCCUCUUCUCUCUGUCAUAAACCCUGGUCCUUGUCAUAAUUGCUGCAGCUCCCAGGGUCUGCACUCAGAUCCUUUUCUUCACAUGAGGGAGAAGUGUCAUCCCCAGAUCUGGGCAUCCACAAAGCAUGAGCUUUGUGGAAAUGUUUCCCUGGCCUGGGGCACAUAGAAGAAUGCAGUGACAGGGCGGGAUUUGUGUAAAUCCUCCAGUCCAUUUACAGACAGCAUGUUCUCCAUUUUAAGAACACAAGUGACACUUUCUUGCUGACCAGGAGACCGGAGAUCAGGCAUGUGAUGAGCACCAGGAGUCCCACAAAGCAGGUGAGGAUUUUGCCCCAGGAGGGGAGGUCUGGGGAGACAAGUGCUAGGUUGAGCCACCUCUGGUUACUCCCCUAGGCUCCUACUGUGCCGUCACUGUGCUCCACAGUUCUUGACACUGGGUUCACCAGCUUUCAUCAUCAUCCAAGACCCUGGGUGCAUGGUUCUCUUUGAUGAGGCACAGCAUCAAGAUAUUCCUUCCCUCCCACCCUGGGCUGGGGCUUCCUUGAGGCUUCCCAGAACUCUCUGUCAAGGAAUCAUUUCUGUGAGGAGAGUACCCUGGAAGUCAAUGAAAUCGAGAAUACAUGUGUGUUUUACAUUUUUAAAUAAAAAUUUUCAAACACACAGAAAAGCAGGACAAUAUCAGAAACAUCCAUCACCUAGAUUUAACAAC
This 1119-nucleotide long non-coding RNA is filed under the name Equus asinus (donkey). Its description in RNAcentral is "lncRNA (ENSEASG00005026916.1)". Lineage: Eukaryota; Metazoa; Chordata; Mammalia; Perissodactyla; Equidae. The record is from RNAcentral.